Molecule: ribosomal RNA, 240 nt
Filed under: uncultured Pseudomonas sp.
Lineage: Bacteria; Pseudomonadati; Pseudomonadota; Gammaproteobacteria; Pseudomonadales; Pseudomonadaceae
Description: partial 16S ribosomal RNA
Rfam family: Bacterial small subunit ribosomal RNA
Source: RNAcentral
AUUGAACGCUGGCGGCAGGCCUAACACAUGCAAGUCGAGCGGUAGAGAGAAGCUUGCUUCUCUUGAGAGCGGCGGACGGGUGAGUAAUGCCUAGGAAUCUGCCUGGUAGUGGGGGAUAACGCUCGGAAACGGACGCUAAUACCGCAUACGUCCUACGGGAGAAAGCAGGGGACCUUCGGGCCUUGCGCUAUCAGAUGAGCCUAGGUCGGAUUAGCUAGUUGGUGAGGUAAUGGCUCACCA